Rattus rattus (black rat) is the source of this 969-nucleotide long non-coding RNA. RefSeq lists it as uncharacterized. The record is from RefSeq and is a predicted model, not a curated record. The transcript has 3 exons. NCBI's taxonomy places the organism in Eukaryota, Metazoa, Chordata, Mammalia, Rodentia, Muridae.
CUCACCAGGGUCCCGGGGAGCAAACUCAGGUUGGCAGGCUUGGCAGUGAGCGCCUUUGCCUGCCAAGCUGUCCUGCUGGUCCCAAACUACAUUUAAAGGGGGAUUCACCAGCCUACGAAACUGCCAUAGCAAGGGUUGCAUCUGACUCUGAGGAAGGGAGACCCCAUGGCCUGAAGGUGGGAGGUCAGUCUGUCUGUCUAUCCUUGCCUCUCCUAUUCUUCCAGGAUUUUUACUCACAAGGUUGGUUCUUGUUCCCUAUCAAGAGCCUCUCUGCUGCUCCAUGGGAGGCUUCCCUAAGCUGCCAGCCACGAUUUGCCUUCAUGUUUAUAAAGCUACCUGGGAGACUCAUGUCCUUAUGGGCUGUCAUCUCAGAACUGCUGAGCAACAUGUAUCCAUGACAACUGGGCAGAUGCCAUGCCUGGGAAAUCCCCACGUAGCCACUGUGAGUCCUGUCAACACAGCUGCUCAACCACUGCACCAGCUUGCCUCUUUUCAUUAAAACUCGUGUGUUCCAGCCUCAGGAUCUGGAUCACAGUGUCAAGAGAAUAUGAAGCCACUCCACAAGACCACAUUAAUCCUUCCGUGGGGAUGGAUCCUUCUCCAACCUCUCACACUAUUACUCGGAGGACCGAGCCUCCUUGUGGAUUCUCGGGGUGGGGGUGUGGGAGAGUCACAGUGGAACCACACCACAGGUGCAGCAUUGUUCAACACUUGCAGAGUUCUAACGGACUCAUCUAGUCUUUAACGUGCUGUUUUCUGUAUUACAAAAGGCAUCUCAGGACCAUGGACAAUUAUUCCCUGGGUAAAUUCGUAUGGGGGAAGGGUGGUAUAAAGGGCUUGUCCCUCUCAACCUCUGAUCACCCGGCCAGUGCCACUCCAGAGUGGGGACAGGACACCCAGCUCCUUCCUGCUGCCCAGCGAGUGCCUGGCGAGCAUCACCACUGCGUUUGGAUCUGUCCUGGUUUUCCA